This 434-nucleotide ribosomal RNA is filed under the name uncultured Lachnospiraceae bacterium. RNAcentral describes it as "partial 16S ribosomal RNA". It matches the Rfam family "Bacterial small subunit ribosomal RNA", at positions 341 to 792 of the family's 1533-position model. Lineage: Bacteria; Bacillati; Bacillota; Clostridia; Lachnospirales; Lachnospiraceae. The record is from RNAcentral.
ACGGGAGGCAGCAGUGGGGGAUAUUGCACAAUGGGGGAAACCCUGAUGCAGCGACGCCGCGUGAGUGAAGAAGUAUUUCGGUAUGUAAAGCUCUAUCAGCAGGGAAGAAAAUGACGGUACCUGACUAAGAAGCUCCGGCUAAAUACGUGCCAGCAGCCGCGGUAAUACGUAUGGAGCAAGCGUUAUCCGGAUUUACUGGGUGUAAAGGGAGCGUAGACGGUUAAGCAAGUCUGAAGUGAAAGGUGUGGGCUCAACCCGCAAACUGCUUUGGAAACUGUUUAACUAGAGUAUCGGAGAGGUAAGUGGAAUUCCUAGUGUAGCGGUGAAAUGCGUAGAUAUUAGGAGGAACACCAGUGGCGAAGGCGGCUUACUGGACGAUAACUGACGUUGAGGCUCGAAAGCGUGGGGAGCAAACAGGAUUAGAUACCCUGGUA